UACGUAGGGUGCGAGCGUUAAUCGGAAUUACUGGGCGUAAAGCGUGCGCAGGCGGUUCGUUGUGUCCGUCGUGAAAGCCCCGGGCUUAACCUGGGAACUGCGAUGGAAACUAGCGAGCUGGAGUGUGGCAGAGGGGGGUGGAAUUCCGCGUGUAGCAGUGAAAUGCGUAGAGAUGCGGAGGAACACCGAUGGCGAAGGCAGCCCCCUGGGCCAACACUGACGCUCAGGCACGAAAGCGUGGGGAGCAAACAGG
Molecule: ribosomal RNA, 253 nt
Filed under: uncultured bacterium
Lineage: Bacteria
Description: partial 16S ribosomal RNA
Rfam family: Bacterial small subunit ribosomal RNA
Source: RNAcentral